This 481-nucleotide ribosomal RNA is filed under the name uncultured bacterium. RNAcentral describes it as "partial 16S ribosomal RNA". It matches the Rfam family "Bacterial small subunit ribosomal RNA", at positions 28 to 523 of the family's 1533-position model. The record is from RNAcentral.
GACGAACGCUGGAGGCGUGCUUAACACAUGCAAGUCGAACGAUGAAAUGGAGCUUGCUCCAUGGAUUAGUGGCGAACGGGUGAGUAACACGUGAAUAACCUGCCCUUAAUUUUGGAAUAACCCAGGGAAACCUGGGCUAAUACCGGAUAAGUAAACCUGUGCAUCACAUGGUUUUGGAAAGUUUUUCGAUUAAGGAUGGAUUCGCGGCCUAUCAGCUUGUUGGUGAGGUAAUGGCUCACCAAGGCGACGACGGGUAGCCGGCCUGAGAGGGUGAACGGCCACACUGGAACUGAGACACGGCCCAGACUCCUACGGGAGGCAGCAGUGGGGAAUAUUGCGCAAUGGAAGAAAGUCUGACGCAGCGACGCCUCGUGAGGGACGAAGGUCUUCGGAUUGUAAACCUCUUUCAGCAGGGACGAAGCGAAAGUGACGGUACCUGCAGAAGAAGCACCGGCUAACUAUGUGCCAGCCGCCGCGGUAA